GAAUAUUGGACAAUGGGGGGAACCCUGAUCCAGCCAUGCCGCGUGUGUGAAGAAGGCCUUUUGGUUGUAAAGCACUUUAAGCGAGGAGGAGGAGCUCUUGGUUAAUACCCAAGAUGCUUGGACGUUACUCGCAGAAUAAGCACCGGCUAACUCUGUGCCAGCAGCCGCGGUAAUACAGAGGGUGCAAGCGGUUACCGGAUUUACUGGGCGGAAAGGGGGGGUUAGUGGCCAAUUAAGUUAAAAUGGGAAACCCCGGGGCUAACCUUGGGAAUGGAAUCGGAACUGGGUGGGCUAGGGUAGGGGGGGGGUGGGAGGAUUUCCGGUUGUAGGGGUAAAAGCCGAAAAGACUGGAGGAAAUACGGAUGGGAAAGGAACCAACUUGGCUUAAACCGGAACCGGAGGUGCAAAACCAGGGGAGCAAACA
RNAcentral lists this ribosomal RNA (424 nucleotides) under uncultured bacterium. Its description in RNAcentral is "partial 16S ribosomal RNA". It matches the Rfam family "Bacterial small subunit ribosomal RNA", at positions 359 to 774 of the family's 1533-position model. The record is from RNAcentral.